GGGUUGCCUGUAUUUCACGAUAGCUCAGCGAAAGCAAGUCUUCUUAUGGAUACAAAUUGGGGCAGGUUUUCCCCUCUGCUUCCUGCCCACUUAUGGACAUGUUGUUCGCUUGAAAUCCACUCUGUAGGUGUUCCAAGUCAUCUUUGAUUCCAAUGAAGCGUGGUUUGAAGCCAGGCUACACCCCAAGGACUGUCAGCUGUGAAAUGACAGCAACAGAUGGACUUUGCCAGGAUGAAGCAAUCAAAGUUUCCUCAUCUAUAAAAAUGAAGUUAUUGGACUCAAGGAUAUUACAGCAAGAGAUUCAUUCUCUCAUGGAGACACUAAUAAUUGGAAGCAAUCUUCUUGACAUCUCUGAAGGUCCCCCAUAGUAGUCACACUUCUACCUGCCUUCCAACUGGAGCAGACUGACCUGACUUAAGGGCUCGGGACCCACACACCAUAAAUCCACGAUCACCAGAGGAGAUUACUGUGAGAACAGAGUGUAUUGCCUUAUACACUGUCCCAUACUCCCUCAAAAGUAAGCUUGUUCUUAAUCCUCCUGGUUCUGGUUCUCCCUUGCCUUCUAAUUUUUACUGGGUCUUCAAAGACCUUGAGACAUUCCUUUAUUGUCAAUGUAAUUCAAGGUCCAAAUAUCCCAAGGGCUUUGGGCUCAGUGGAAGUCUCAUUUUUGAGGACUGACUCCAAGAAGGCUAUUGUGAGUCCCCAGUAUGGGUAACAGGGCUCCCAGCU
This 729-nucleotide long non-coding RNA is filed under the name Monodelphis domestica (gray short-tailed opossum). Its description in RNAcentral is "lncRNA (ENSMODG00000043976.1)". The record is from RNAcentral. Lineage: Eukaryota; Metazoa; Chordata; Mammalia; Didelphimorphia; Didelphidae.